Molecule: non-coding RNA, 4216 nt
Organism: Oryctolagus cuniculus (rabbit)
Lineage: Eukaryota; Metazoa; Chordata; Mammalia; Lagomorpha; Leporidae
Source: RefSeq, a predicted model, not a curated record
GUACCCACCAGGAAGGCUGCUGGCUGCCCCUGCCCCCGGCCGGUCACGGCCAUGGCCACCGGCUGCAGCAGCCCCAGGACCACACGGCCUCAUCUUCCUGCUUCCUCUCCUCCUUUGUUACGUGUUCAUCACGGCCAGGAGUCUGGAGUGCAUCCGAGAUGUGGCCGUCUGACUGCUGCCCUGUGCAUCUUGCAGCCCAGUCGAGGGGUGGGGGGAUGUUGUUCACAUAGCAGAAGGCCUGCAGGGCAGGGGUGCAUGUGCUGGGGACCCUAGGCCGGGAGGGCUCUGUGGCUUAAGGCAUGGAAGCUCUCCCCUCUUCUUCCAUCCCCACGCCCAGGGCAGGUGACCAGGUGUCGCUGGGCUGCACCAGAGCUGUGUUCAUGGCUGAGGCCGGCGGCGUUAUGCUUGCAGCCAGUCUGGUGCCUCUUCAGACCCGGGCAGCACAGAAGGGGCCGUGGUUGGCCCCAGGAGAACUUCCUGGCGGAGGUGGUGUCUGAGCAAGAUUUUCAAGCCAGUCCAGUGUCCUGUGAUGGAAAUCUGUGGUCGGUACCUGGGAGGGUGGAAAAACACGGGGUGCUCCAGAUGUCGAAGGCCACCUUAGCUGGCUGGGUGGUGAAGCUCUUGGGAGGGGGCCCAGGUGCCUGGAGGCAGAGGCAGGCGCAGGAGAAGUUACCUGGGGUCAGCUCCCACCAGCCUUGCAGCGGUGGGACUUGGAAGACCACUGUCUGGCCUUUAGUAACGGCGCCCGUUCACCCAGCUGUGCGCUCUUCCAAGUCUCCCAUCUGAGGAGCUGAUGUCCCAUGAGGAGGCCAGGCAGGAAGUGAGCAAACGCAUAAAGCACACAGCGUGUGACGUAAGUUCUGUCAUAAAGCGACUAAGGAGAACUAGGGAGAGAUGGGCCGGGUGAGCAGGGAGGGGUCCCCUGGAAGCGGUGAGCCCCAGUGAAAGGUUCAGUCCUGCCGUCAGCCAAGGCCAGCACAGGGUCUUGAAAGCCAGGCUGAGGGUUAGUGGGGAGGUGAGAGGCCGGCACGCGUGUGCUGGGGGUUAGUGGGGAGGUGAGAGGCCGGCACGCGUGUGCUGGGGGUUAGUGGGGAGGUGAGAGGCCGGCACGCGUGUGCUGGGGGUUAGUGGGGAGGUGAGAGGCCGGCACGCGUGUGCUGGGGGUUAGUGGGGAGGUGAGAGGCCGGCACGCGUGUGCUGGGGGUUAGUGGGGAGGUGAGAGGUCGGCACGCGUGUGCUGGGGGUUAGUGGGGAGGUGAGAGGCCGGCACGCGUGUGCUGGGGGUUAGUGGGGAGGUGAGAGGCCGGCACGCGUGUGCUGGGGGUUAGUGGGGAGGUGAGAGGCCGGCACGCGUGUGCUGGGGGUUAGUGGGGAGGUGAGAGGCCGGCACGCGUGUGCUGGGGGUUAGUGGGGAGGUGAGAGGCUGGCACGCGUGUGCUGAGCACGGGCUCAUCGUGUGCUCCGGAGAUUUGGUUGGCACUGCCUGUCCGAGAGCCCGGCCCGUGUUUGACAAGCGCGUUCCUCUCCUGGUGUCACAGGGAAGGUAGGCAGUGUGUUCCGGCUCAGUGUGGAGGCAGUGAGCAGGGGCGAGAUGGGCGGCGUUUUUGGAGUGGAGCCGGGAGCGGGGUGAGAAGGUGCUCCCAGGGCCGAGGGCCUCUGCAGCUGGCCGUGCAGUCACGCGGGGCUCCUGGGAGCUCGAGGUGCCCGUUAGAUGCAAGUGCAGAUUCCCUGUGGACCACAGAUGCAUCACAGUUCCAAGAGAGCUCUGGGACAUCCAGCCCACAGGUGGCCAGACAGCCCUGGGGCAGGUCAGGUUCGGUCCUGAAGGGCUGUUCUGUGCCAGGCACGGUGUCCAGGCGCAGUCCUGUGCGGGAGCCCCUGAGGAAGCAGGGGAACCACCCCGGAGAAAAGUCCUCAGAGACGCACCCUCCCGCACGCGGGGUUCAGAGAGGGCUUCCUGGAAGAGGUGGUCCCUGAGCCGCGCCUUGCUUAGUCGACGCCGUUUGUUAGCUUUUCCCCCCUGGAAGCCGCAGCGUGCUGUGCACGGCAGCUGUCCCGCAGGAGCCUGUGGGAGGGUGGGGUUGUGUCCCUGCCCCGGCCAGGCCGGGCUCCCCCCCCCGGAACCCUGGGUCUCGGCAGAGGCUGCCCUCCUCUCCCCGGCCGUGGAGCCGGCGAGGCCUCUAACUCUCCUGUGUUUGAUCCGUGCUUAAAUGAGAUCCUCAUGGCGUGGCCGCUGCCAGCAGCGCCGUUUGAAACCUGUUAGCUGAAACAAAAGCCCCCUCGGAGGGAAAGGGGAGGCCUGGCUCUGAAAUCGAAGCGUUCCUGUCCAUCUGUCUUUUUUCACAUGGCCUCCGUUUAAGCUCUGCAAUGUGUUCUGAGUGCCCCCUCCACGGGGAGCAUUCUGGGUAAUGUUAUGAUUUUUCCCCCAGCUGCAAUUACCACGGCUCCAGGACUAACGGCGUCUGAGAGCCAGGAGAAAUGUGGCUUCCAGGCUCCUGGAGGAUUCCAGGCCCCGGCUGCGGGAGAGCUGGGCUCCGGUGCCGGGUCAGCUCGGCCUCCACUUGAAAGCUGGCGGGGGGCAGGGCUUCCGGGAAGGCGCGGGCCCGUCUCUGAGUGUGCUGAGGGGCGUGGAGCUCACUCCCUCGGAGGAGGAGCCCAGCCUGGCUGACAGGGCUGGUGACAGCCCCCUUCGCCACACCUGUCUCUGGGUCAGUUGAUGUCCUCAGCCCGCUGGCGUCUCUGGCAGAACGGAAAGCUGCACCAUGUCUGAGGGCUGGGGGACCAGCAGUGGAAUCCGUGUGGGUACCACCUCCCCCCACCAAGCAGGGCGGUCACUGAAGCCUGGCUCUGUGCCGGGUGCUGGGCCGUCGGGGCCAUGGCAGCCGGGCUGUGUUCUCACCAAGGUUCCUGUGGGCCAGGGCGAGGGAAGGGUGAGAAGGUCGCCUCUGUGUGGGAGGGAGGAGGGCGGGAGCGCAUUCAUCCUCUAAUGAGUGUUUUAAAUGAGCCUGCGUCUGAGUGCCGGGCACUGAGUGACCAGUGAAGAACGAGACCAGGGGCACCUCCUUCCGCGGAGACUGCCACGCUGGCGGUCCAGACCAAGCCACAGCAGAGUAGGACGUCGUCCUGGUCGCUGCAGACCACUGGGCACGCUCGGUUGCAUGUGUGCUUGCAGGAGGCAGGUGUGCUCGUGGGCCCUUCAUCCUCUCAGUUCUGCCAGGCAGCGCUGUUGAGAAGGCGAGCAAGACAGGAGCUGGCACAGCAGCCUUGCCCGGAGCAGAGAGGCCUCUCGGGAGAAGGAGGCACCCGCGGGGGCGUCACCUUGUCUUCCAGGCCGUCUGGGCUCCCAGCUGGUUCCUGCGUGACCACUAGAGCUCACACUGGUGCGGGGCAGCACGGAGUGUUUCUCCCCAUUCUCGCAAAGGCUCCACCAGCUGGGGGUGGCGAGUGGGGCAGGAAGGAGGGCUUGCAAAGGCUCCUUCUGCCUUGGGGUGAUCAGGAGCAGCUGUGGCAGGGAGACCCCCUCCCCGCCUUGCCCUUGGUGACCCGGCCCCUGAGAAAGCAGGCACCUCUGUCCCGCGGCAGCUCGCAGGAGAGGCGGCCCAGCUCCCUCUGACCCCUAACUCAGCGUGGUUGCCUGGUGGGGUUGGCCCCAGGAAGGAAGCUGUCUGUGCACAGAAUUCGUGAAAGCUGGCUUCAGGAGACGGCCCUUGUCAGAAGCCUCUUUGGCGUCCAGAGUGGCGUGAAGGGGCGUCGUCGGCAGGAGCAGCGGACGGGCAGUGCAGGAUCCUGAUGCUGCGGACACCGAGAGACUCCCAGCCCCAGGCUGUCUGCUUUUCAUUCCUCUCGCCUUUUUAACCGGGUCCUUCCCUGAGCCCCUGCUGGAGUCACCAAGGGCGUCUUCUCCUCACCCGCUUCCCACACGCUGUAAGGAGGUCUUCGCAGAGCCGGCGGCAGUCAGCGAGGGAAAUACAAAGGAGUCGGAGAAGGCAGAGGGAGGAGCUGGCCUUGGCGGCCCAGUGCCUGCCCGCGGGCGCGCCAUCGGCCCUCCCCUUCACUCCCACAGCAGCCUCUGCUCACCGCGCGCUCGAGGCUCAGCCAGUGGAGACGCUGGCCGAGGGUGCACAGCUGUGGGGGCUGGGCUGCACACCCCUGCUCUGCCCCUGCUCGCAGGCCCUGCCUCCAUGGAACCAUUCCCAUGACCUCCUCUUCCCCCCAC